RNAcentral lists this ribosomal RNA (1382 nucleotides) under metagenome. RNAcentral's name for it is "SSU rRNA". It matches the Rfam family "Eukaryotic small subunit ribosomal RNA", at positions 3 to 1415 of the family's 1831-position model. The record is from RNAcentral.
CCUGGUUGAUCCUGCCAGUAGUAUAUGCUUGUCUCAAAGACUAAGCCAUGCAUGUCUAAGUAUAAACCAAUCUAUACGGUAAGACUGCGAACGGCUCAUUAAAUCAGUUAGAGUUUAUUUGAUAAUCACUUUCUACUUGGAUAACCGUAGGAAUUCUAGAGCUAAUACAUGCGACAAGCCCUGACUUUUUGGAAAGGGUGUAUUUAUUAGAUUCAAAACCAUCUCACGCUUGCGUGGUUCUUGGUGAUUCAUAAUAACUUAACGAAUCGCAUGACCUUGUGUCGGCGAUGUAUCAUUCAACUUUCUGCCCUAUCAACUUUGGAUGGUAGGAUAGAGGCCUACCAUGGUUGCAACGGGUAACGGGGAAUUAGGGUUUGAUUCCGGAGAGGGAGCCUGAGAAAUGGCUACCACAUCCAAGGAAGGCAGCAGGCGCGCAAAUUACCCAAUCGGAACUCCCGGAGGUAGUGACAAGAAAUAACAAUACGGGACCCAACGGGUUUCGUAAUUGGAAUGAGAACAACUUAAAACCCUUAUCGAGGAUCAAUUGGAGGGCAAGUCUGGUGCCAGCAGCCGCGGUAAUUCCAGCUCCAGUAGCGUAUGCUAAAGCUGCUGCGGUUAAAAAGCUCGUAGUUGAACUUCGGAGUGGGAUGGCUGGUCCGCCACUGGCGUGAACAGCACUCUCACUCUUCCAUCUGAAACACUGUUCUGUCCUUCACUGGGUGGUGCAGCGGUUCAGGUCAUUUACCUUGAAAAAAUUAGAGUGUUCAAAGCAGGCUUUCGCCUUGAAUACAUUAGCAUGGAAUAGUAGAAUAGGACUUUGGUUCUAUUUUGUUGGUUUCUGGAACUGAAGUAAUGAUUAAUAGGGAUAGUUGGGGGCAUUAGUAUUCCAUUGUCAGAGGUGAAAUUCUUAGAUUUAUGGAAGACUAACUACUGCGAAAGCAUUUGCCAAGGAUGUUUUCAUUAAUCAAGAACGAAAGUUUGGGGAUCGAAGACGAUCAGAUACCGUCGUAGUCCAAACCAUAAACUAUGCCGACUAGGGAUUGGAGGACGUCAAACUUAACUCCUUCAGCACCUUAUGAGAAAUCAAAGUUUUUGGGUUCCGGGGGGAGUAUGGUCGCAAGGCUGAAACUUGAAGGAAUUGACGGAAGGGCACCACCAUGGAGUGGAGCUUGCGGCUUAAUUCAACACAACACGGGGAAACUUACCAGGUCCAGACACGACUAGGAUUGACAGAUUGAGAGCUCUUUCUUGAUUUCGUGGAUGGUGGUGCAUGGCCGUUCUUAGUUGGUGGAGUGAUUUGUCUGCUUAAUUGCGUUAACGAACGAGACCUUAACCUACUAAAUAGUCAUGCCAUACUUCGGUAUGGUAGACGACUUCUUAGA